Molecule: ribosomal RNA, 498 nt
Filed under: uncultured bacterium
Lineage: Bacteria
Description: partial 16S ribosomal RNA
Rfam family: Bacterial small subunit ribosomal RNA
Source: RNAcentral
AUUGAACGCUGGCGGCAUGCCUUACACAUGCAAGUCGAACGGCAGCACGGGGCAACCUGGUGGCGAGUGGCGAACGGGUGAGUAAUGCAUCGGAACGUACCUUUCAGUGGGGGAUAACGUAGCGAAAGUUACGCUAAUACCGCAUAUUCUGUGAGCAGGAAAGCAGGGGAUCGCAAGACCUUGCGCUGAUUGAGCGGCCGAUGUCAGAUUAGCUAGUUGGUGAGGUAAAGGCUCACCAAGGCGACGAUCUGUAGCGGGUCUGAGAGGAUGAUCCGCCACACUGGAACUGAGGAACGGUCCAGACUCCUACGGGAGGCAGCAGUGGGGAAUUUUGGACAAUGGGGGCAACCCUGAUCCAGCCAUGCCGCGUGAGUGAAGAAGGCCUUCGGGUUGUAAAGCUCUUUCGGCCGGAAAGAAAUCGCACGGGCUAAUACCCUGUGUGGAUGACGGUACCGGAAUAAGAAGCACCGGCUAACUACGUGCCAGCCGCCGCCGUAA